This 642-nucleotide ribosomal RNA is filed under the name Serratia sp. T2-62. Its description in RNAcentral is "bacterial SSU rRNA". It matches the Rfam family "Bacterial small subunit ribosomal RNA", at positions 107 to 745 of the family's 1533-position model. The record is from RNAcentral. Lineage: Bacteria; Pseudomonadati; Pseudomonadota; Gammaproteobacteria; Enterobacterales; Yersiniaceae.
UGAGUAAUGUCUGGGAAACUGCCUGAUGGAGGGGGAUAACUACUGGAAACGGUAGCUAAUACCGCAUAACGUCUUCGGACCAAAGUGGGGGACCUUCGGGCCUCAUGCCAUCAGAUGUGCCCAGAUGGGAUUAGCUAGUAGGUGGGGUAAUGGCUCACCUAGGCGACGAUCCCUAGCUGGUCUGAGAGGAUGACCAGCCACACUGGAACUGAGACACGGUCCAGACUCCUACGGGAGGCAGCAGUGGGGAAUAUUGCACAAUGGGCGCAAGCCUGAUGCAGCCAUGCCGCGUGUGUGAAGAAGGCCUUCGGGUUGUAAAGCACUUUCAGCGAGGAGGAAGGGUAGUGUGUUAAUAGCACAUUGCAUUGACGUUACUCGCAGAAGAAGCACCGGCUAACUCCGUGCCAGCAGCCGCGGUAAUACGGAGGGUGCAAGCGUUAAUCGGAAUUACUGGGCGUAAAGCGCACGCAGGCGGUUUGUUAAGUCAGAUGUGAAAUCCCCGCGCUUAACGUGGGAACUGCAUUUGAAACUGGCAAGCUAGAGUCUUGUAGAGGGGGGUAGAAUUCCAGGUGUAGCGGUGAAAUGCGUAGAGAUCUGGAGGAAUACCGGUGGCGAAGGCGGCCCCCUGGACAAAGACUGACG